GAUGAACGCUGGCGGCGUGCCUAAUACAUGCAAGUCGAGCGAACAGACGAGGAGCUUGCUCCUCUGACGUUAGCGGCGGACGGGUGAGUAACAUGUGGAUAACCUAUCUAUAAGACUGGGAUAACUUCGGGAAACCGGAGCUAAUACCGGAUAAUAUAUUGAACCGCAUGGUUCAAUAGUGAAAGACGGUUUUGCUGUCACUUAUAGAUGGAUCCGCGCCGCAUUAGCUAGUUGGUAAGGUAACGGCUUACCAAGGCAACGAUGCGUAGCCGACCUGAGAGGGUGAUCGGCCACACUGGAACUGAGACACGGUCCAGACUCCUACGGGAGGCAGCAGUAGGGAAUCUUCCGCAAUGGGCGAAAGCCUGACGGAGCAACGCCGCGUGAGUGAUGAAGGUCUUCGGAUCGUAAAACUCUGUUAUUAGGGAAGAACAAAUGUGUAAGUAACUAUGCACGUCUUGACGGUACCUAAUCAGAAAGCCACGGCUAACUACGUG
Molecule: ribosomal RNA, 497 nt
Filed under: uncultured bacterium
Lineage: Bacteria
Description: partial 16S ribosomal RNA
Rfam family: Bacterial small subunit ribosomal RNA
Source: RNAcentral